UAGGGGUAAUGGAUUAAGACUUCAAAGGGAUGCACAGCUGGUAGCAUGGUGGUAGUAGGAGUUGUACAAUUCUUUGUAAUCUGACCAAUAAUGAAAGGCAAAAGAGAUGAAGAGGAGGUUGCCAGGAACUAAUGAAAUGUCCUUUGUUCUGCAGGACAGAAUGAACUGCAUUUGAAAGUACUACCCUUGCUAUGGAUGGCUGUGAAAUUCCACAUUACUAAGGUGAAGAGAUGUAUUGGGUGAGAUGAAGAGCCCUUAGGGAUUACUUUGGGGUAUCACUCGGUCCUGGAGGCAUCACUUCAAGUUCUCUGUGCAGAGAGGUCCAUGCCCUGAGGUCUCCAAAAGAGAGACUAAUAAGUCUGAGCCAUUCUGGGUCUGGUGUGCUUGGAAGGUGUCUGCCUCAGAGCAGAUUGUGGACCCAGUAUCCAAAUUUCAUCUCUCUACAAUAGUGAAGAUUUGAUGGUGGAAGGCCUAACAAUAUUGACUAGUGGCACAGAACUGCUCCUCAAAACUGCUCUCUAAAGCCUGAUACAAAGGCAGCCCUUCACCUCAGCUCUUGGAGUUUAAGAUGCUGUGAAUGUCUCUGUGCUGCACCAGGGACAGGGGCUAUGAUUACACAUUAAAGUUGCAGGUGCUAUGGUGGAGGGUCACCCACUUCACCCCAAGCUUCUGCCGCAUGGAAUCUGUGCCUGGAACCCCAGAGUCUGUUGCAAUGAGGAAAGCUAUCUUUGGGUGGCAGUGCCUGAGGAGGAUGGUUUCCUCUCAUUUUGAUGGGGAGUACGGAGUAGAGAGCAGAACAUGACAAUUUCAGGUAAGAGUUUGGGCAGAUUUAAGAAACACAUUGGAUUUU
RNAcentral lists this long non-coding RNA (850 nucleotides) under Chrysemys picta bellii (western painted turtle). RNAcentral's name for it is "lncRNA (ENSCPBG00000003931.1)". Lineage: Eukaryota; Metazoa; Chordata; Testudines; Emydidae. The record is from RNAcentral.